Thalassophryne amazonica is the source of this 96-nucleotide long non-coding RNA. RefSeq lists it as uncharacterized. The record is from RefSeq and is a predicted model, not a curated record. The transcript has 3 exons. NCBI's taxonomy places the organism in Eukaryota, Metazoa, Chordata, Actinopteri, Batrachoidiformes, Batrachoididae.
UGGGAGGCAGGCACUCUGACCAGAAGGCUAAAACCCAUGAGCUCUGGUAUCUAUGGCCAGAGCAUCUUUUGGUGUUGGGGAUCACAAAAUAACAUC